RNAcentral lists this ribosomal RNA (496 nucleotides) under uncultured bacterium. Its description in RNAcentral is "bacterial SSU rRNA". It matches the Rfam family "Bacterial small subunit ribosomal RNA", at positions 28 to 429 of the family's 1533-position model. The record is from RNAcentral.
GAUGAACGCUGGCGGCGUGCCUAAAACAUGCAAGUCGAGCGGCAGCGAGUUCCUCGCUAAUGUUCGGAUUUGUUUACCAAUGAUGCAAGUAAUUUAGUCAGAGUAACAAAGUAACGACUAGUUGUUUAAGUUAAAAGGUAGAUUUAAUAUUCCGGAUAUGAGCGAGGAAUGUCGGCGAGCGGCGGACGGCUGAGUAGCGCGUAGGAACAUACCCCAAAGUGAGGCAUAACCGCCCGAAAGGGUGGCUAAUACCGCAUAUUGUCUUCGGAUGAAAGCUUUUAGCGCUUUGGGAAUGGCCUGCGUUUGAUUAGCUAGUUGGUGAGGUAAGGGCUUACCAAGGCGAUGAUCAAUAGCUGGUUUGAGAGAAUGAUCAGCCAGACUGGAACUGAGACACGGUCCAGACUCCUACGGGAGGCAGCAGUUGGGAAUUUUCCACAAUGGGCGAAAGCCUGAUGGAGCAACGCCGCGUGCAGGAAGAAUGCCUUCGGGUUGUAAA